UACGUAGGUCCCGAGCGUUGUCCGGAUUUAUUGGGCGUAAAGCGAGCGCAGGUGGUUUAUUAAGUCUGGUGUAAAAGGCAGUGGCUCAACCAUUGUAUGCAUUGGAAACUGGUAGACUUGAGUGCAGGAGAGGAGAGUGGAAUUCCAUGUGUAGCGGUGAAAUGCGUAGAUAUAUGGAGGAACACCGGUGGCGAAAGCGGCUCUCUGGCCUGUAACUGACUCUGAGGCUCGAAAGCGUGGGGAGCAAACAGG
Molecule: ribosomal RNA, 252 nt
Filed under: uncultured bacterium
Lineage: Bacteria
Also listed under: 1 other name
Description: partial 16S ribosomal RNA
Rfam family: Bacterial small subunit ribosomal RNA
Source: RNAcentral